UCUCCAACACAGAUUGCUUUGCAAGACUGAUUGUGUUUGGACUGUGGUUAAGGCGGUGAACUGAUUGUCUUCAAUCAAAGCAGGAAGAAGAAAAGACUCUUCCUUUGAACCCAGAAGGAAUCCCCUGAGCCCUUUAUCUUUGUAUUAAGAAGCCUUUUGAAGAUUAUAGGUGGAGAAGACUGUGAACUCUCAAGAACAAGAAAUGUCUUUGGUUUUUGAAGUUUGAUAAAUUGGGAAAGUCUCUUCAGAACCCUGGCCAUGGAAGACUCAGUACCAGGAAAAAGUCUCUAUAUAUCAGACUCCCUGGCUCUCAGAAGACAGUCUGAAGAAGACGAAACCACAUCCCAGUUAAGUUCUCUGUUUGAUCCAGAGAAAGCAGGCAGCUCUAGGCACUCACUCUGAGCCUGCUGGAAUUGUACUGGACUGAAGCUCCCUGCCAAGGCCCUGCGGAGCCUCAGACAUGUUUAUUAGACCCACCAGGGAGCUUAAGAAGGUUCUGGAAUGAGUCCCUCUGGCCAGACAGCUGCCCCCCACCUUCCAGCCCCUGCACAGGACUUGGCCCUCAGCACCCCUCUACACUCAGACCUGCGGAAGCCGCCUCUCCCUUGGUUAUCUCAGGGCCUGCCUGUUUGACAAGAAUUUCUGAGCUGGUCGUGUCAGUCACAGAAUAAAAAGCACUGAACUGGCCCACAAUUUCUUUUGCAUCCCAGGCAUCCAGCCAUGACCAGCCAGAUUUUCUAACUUGUCAGACUCACUGAGGCCCUGGUAGACCACAUGGUUGCCAUGGUUUUCUAGAGGGACUUUAUCUGAGGUGGCCUUGCUUUCUGGACUUUCUCAGGGGACCGGGUAGACGGUUCCAUUCCUUCCUGUUUCCUCCUUGUCUUUGUAUCCAUCGGGUCGGCUUCUGAAAGCGCUGUCCCCUUUCUUGGGCCACCUUGGCACCCGUGUCCUCCUUGAGGCCACACCAGGCAGUCUCACAAGAGCCGCGUGUUUUGAACAGGGCAAUUCUUAAUAAAUGUGAUAACCACGA
This is a non-coding RNA of Saimiri boliviensis boliviensis (Bolivian squirrel monkey), 1030 nucleotides long. The record is from RefSeq and is a predicted model, not a curated record. Lineage: Eukaryota; Metazoa; Chordata; Mammalia; Primates; Cebidae.